CAAAUCAGGUAGGAUUACCCGCUGAACUUAAGCAUAUCAAUAAGCGGAGGAAAAGAAACUAACAAGGAUUCCCCUAGUAACUGCGAGUGAAGCGGGAAAAGCUCAAAUUUGUAAUCUGGCGGUCUUGGGCCGUCCGAAUUGUAAACUAGAGAAGCGUUAUCCGCGCUGGACCGUGUACAAGUCCCCUGGAAUGGGGCGUCAUAGAGGGUGAGAAUCCCGUCUUUGACACGGACUACCAGGGCUUUGUGAUGCGCUCUCAAAGAGUCGAGUUGUUUGGGAAUGCAGCUCAAAAUGGGUGGUAAAUUCCAUCUAAAGCUAAAUAUUGGCGAGAGACCGAUAGCGAACAAGUACCGUGAGGGAAAGAUGAAAAGAACUUUGGAAAGAGAGUUAAACAGUACGUGAAAUUGCUGAAAGGGAAACGCUUGAAGUCAGUCGCGUUGGCUAGGGAUCAGCCUUACUCUGGUGGGGUGUAUUUCCUUGUCGACGGGUCAGCAUCAGUUUUGGUUGCUGGAUAAAGGCCAGGGGAAUGUGGCACCUUCGGGUGUGUUAUAGCCCUUGGUCAGAUACAGUGGCUGGGACUGAGGAACUCAGCACGCGCAAGCUGUGCUUAGGAUGCUGGCAAAAUG
RNAcentral lists this ribosomal RNA (626 nucleotides) under Hohenbuehelia angustata. Its description in RNAcentral is "eukaryotic LSU rRNA". It matches the Rfam family "Eukaryotic large subunit ribosomal RNA", at positions 1 to 636 of the family's 3401-position model. The record is from RNAcentral. Lineage: Eukaryota; Fungi; Basidiomycota; Agaricomycetes; Agaricales; Pleurotaceae. RNAcentral also lists the same sequence under 1 other name.